GGAGAGGUGGCCGAGAGGCCGAAGGCAGCGGCUUGCUAAGCCGUAGGCGGCGAGCGCCGUCCAUGGGUUCGAAUCCCAUCCUCUCCGCCA
This 90-nucleotide transfer RNA is filed under the name Rhodanobacteraceae bacterium. RNAcentral's name for it is "tRNA-Ser". It matches the Rfam family "tRNA". From Rfam's summary of the family: Transfer RNA (tRNA) molecules are approximately 80 nucleotides in length. Their secondary structure includes four short double-helical elements and three loops (D, anti-codon, and T loops). Lineage: Bacteria; Pseudomonadati; Pseudomonadota; Gammaproteobacteria; Lysobacterales; Rhodanobacteraceae. The record is from RNAcentral.